This is a long non-coding RNA of Anas platyrhynchos (mallard), 3500 nucleotides long. RefSeq lists it as uncharacterized. The record is from RefSeq and is a predicted model, not a curated record. Lineage: Eukaryota; Metazoa; Chordata; Aves; Anseriformes; Anatidae.
GUUUAAGCAUGCUCUUAAAUGGCUUCCUGAAUUAAAGCUUAAUGCUUACAAAACUCUUCAUAUCUAAAUACAGAAGAUAGUAUAUACAUGUUAUGUAGAGGGAUCAGUGUUGUCAGCAAAGUCAGAUGAGAUCUGCAGCUGCCAGAGAAUAAAACCACAGUGGGCAGCUAAUGGACAAGUGAAAUAACAAAGGUUCUUCAAAGCACAGUGAUGAAGACUACACAUCCAGAAACAGCUUGUGCAUAGCACAUUUGCUUAGUAACAAAUGUCACUGUGAAAGCAUUACCCUUUAUCACUAUAUUGAAAAUCACAGAACGAAGAAUUAUUUGAUAGUAUUGUUAUCCAUGGACAGGAUCCAUGGUCACCACAUGGUCAACAUCACAAUGAACCCCUCAUCUCCAGGGGCUAUGAGAAGUGCCUGCUGUGUAGGCAGUGUGACUUCCAGGAGCUCUGACCUACUAGGCCCCUGGAAGACACAUGUGGACAGAGGAAAGUAGCUGUAUUGUAGCACAGGUACCAACCGUCUUUGGAAAUAUCAGCCUCAUCAGGCACUGACAAACUAUCCAAGAUGUCAAUACUUGGUCCCCCUGCCCUCCACAGUGGAGAAAUGUGCUGAUGGGAAAUAACUGUCAUCUUCUUCCUCAUCAAAAUACAAGGUACAGCUAGGUGCUACUUAAGUACGUGUCUUGUCAGGUUGGGAAGUUCAGCCAAACCUCUUUGGGCAAGAGAGUAAUAACCACAGCAAGAAGAAAAAUCAGAUCAAUAUCUGCAGGCUAGUUUUACAUCAGUAUUCAUACACAGGAAACAAAAACAACAACAACAAACGUUUUAAGAGAUCUCUAAAGGGUAAAUUUAUUUUUUUUUUGUACAAAUUUGACAGAAAUACAUACAUAAAUGAGUGUGUGUAUUUGAGAGAAUAGCAGACAAUGCAAUGCAGACGGUGUGAUUACUAGGAAUUUUUACUUUUUGGCUAUCUAAACACAUAUACUUGUAAGAGCAUAAAGACAAAAUAUAACUCCACAAAAUAAUUGAAAAGAUCUUAUGGUGAAGUAAUUAACAUGCUUUCCAUUUACUAAAAUAUCUCACUGGUUGCCAGAAAUACUCAAGAAUAUAUGAAGUUAAAUUCUAACACUGUGAAGUUGAUCAAAAUAAUAUUCCUACUAAAUUCAAUGUGAAAUAAGACUUCAUCCUCUUUCUCUUUAGGAUUUUCUGGGGGAUGAUGCAAAGGGCAUGAAAAGGAACAAGCAAUAAAAUAAGCAGAAUACACAGGCCUCAAAAUUUGCUCAGAAGAACGUGAUAAAAUGGCAACCACUGCUGUGAAAAAAACAGAAGCUGUUUUAUGAUAUCCGUAAUGGUUUAGGGCUGGGAUACAGGAGUUCCUGGCUGUGGUUACAACCUAACCUUGAAGGAAUGGUUCUGUUAUUCAGUUUUCCUUUGCAUUAAUAAGGAUAGUAAAUUCCUGUUAGAGAUAAUUUAUUAAUGUUUAUGGAAAUAUGUUAAUUAGCAUCAGAAAGUUCUAUUUAAAAAAAAAAAAAAGAAGAAGAAAAUAUUAAAUAGGUAUUUGGAUUAAUGAAUCUGAAGAGAUAUGUAGGUUGACUAGAGAAAGUAAUGAGUGAGCUCUCAGGUGUUUCCUAUGUUAAUAAGAGCUGUUAGUCAAAUAAGUGACUUGAGUUUAUAGUAAACUCAGGCUUAUUCUGUUUGAUUUCCUAAGGAACUUUUCCCAAGCCUACUAAAAUUAGUGAAACUCUCUUCCAUGAUUUCUUGUCAUUCCAGAACUUCUGGGAUCAGUCCCAGAAAGAGUAAGGAAUGACUCUCAUGAGAAAAGAUAAAGGGUAUGAAACUGGGGCAGAGGAGAAGUCCCAGGACAGAUGCAGGGAAAAUCCAUUGCAUAACUCAGGCUUAAAUCUCCCCAGAGCAGCUGGGUCAGCAGGGCCUGGGGAAGCCAUCCUCCACCCAACAGCUCACAGACCUUCCCCUUCCCAUCAGUGAGAGUCAACAUGAGAAACUGAAGUCAGCCUCAAUCCCCAGGCUCCCUGACCCCACCUCACUGAGUUUCCCACAAAAAGGCAUGAGAUGCCUGCAGGACUUAAUAUUACUGGCUGCUUACAUUUAUGCAGAAUCUAAGGGCACUUAAUCACGUAUAUCAGCAGAGGGACCACCCAAAGUUUUCUAGAAUUUUUCAGUUCCACAAUCAGAUAUUUUAAGUUACAAGGGGACUUACAUUACUUUAUGAUCUUUUUUUUUUUUUUUUUUUUAAUUACUCUCAUAUUUGCUUUUAACAUAGUCCAAGUAAUUUAAUGAAGGAAAGGUGGUAAUAUGUGGGUUUACAAAGCUUUCUGUGAAUCUGUGUAAUACAGAAAUGUCUGAUUUAUUUUAUUAAUCUUAGCAAAGCUUUGAGGAAAAACAGUAUCAACAUAAGAAAAUACAAUAGGACCUAAAAGACGCUUUGUGUCAGAAAUUCCAGAAAAAUGUUUAUUUUAGUGAUGUCAUUAAUUGUUUUUUCUUUAAGGAAAAUAAUCUCACUAUGCCUCAGCUGUCUGCAUUACUGAAAAAUUGUUCAUGUUUGCUCAGAUGAAAUUGUUUAAAAGAGCUCAGCUCAACACCCAUUUGAACUACAUCAGUGUCCAUGUAAAUAAACAUUACAGCCAUCUUCCAUUUAAAUCAACUAACAACUAGUAAACUGUCCAUUCGACCUAAAAGAUUAGUAUCGACCUAAAAGAUUAGGUCGAAUGGACAGUUUGCUAGUUGUUAGUUGAUGAUGGAAAUGUAUCUCACCAAUAUUUAAUUAUAGCUCUGUAGAAGUUGUUUCACAAAUUAGAAAUGUUUUGAAUACUGUGUACUCUGAGGAGCUGUUAGUUUGCAAUAUAGCUAAGUGUUUCAGCUAACUGGUCAUAAAGAGAUGACAUGUGAGUACAUGAUUCACAUGCUGUUAAUUAAAGUUGCUAAUAACACUCAAAGCUUUAAUACAUAACCGCUAGCUACCUGGAUACUUGGUACACAUAUAGCUGCAACUGUAAAUGUGAUUCAGACAUCAUGUGAUGUAGAAGACCAUCUGGAAAGGGGAAAAAAUGAACUUCACAAGUGCAAACGGAAUAGAACAAAGACAGCUCCAAGGGGAAAACAGUGACCAGGCCUGGAAAGAAGAGUCUCCAUCCCUCUUUCUUCUUCUUCCUAUAAACACUAUGACUUUCUCUGAAAGGAAGAUGAACACACUAAGAAACAAAUAAAAAUACAAAGAAGAAAUAUAAGAAUUGUGAAAUGAUGUGGCAUCAUGGUACUAUCUAUAGAAGUGCAAAUUAGAGAAAAAGACAAACUUGAGAAGUUUAAAAGUAUUCUUUACCUGGUAAAUUUUAGUCCUGAGUAGAACUGUUAAUUUCAAUAAUAUUCAGUAGUUUAUUUUAGAAGGCCAAUUUCAAAGAUAAUUUAUAAUGGUCCAUUCUUCAUUCAUUAAACCCCUGACUUGAUUAUACUGGGAAUUCAGAGUCUGCAAGACAAACAAA